RNAcentral lists this transfer RNA (72 nucleotides) under Sphaerodactylus townsendi. RNAcentral describes it as "tRNA-His". It matches the Rfam family "tRNA". Rfam says of the family: Transfer RNA (tRNA) molecules are approximately 80 nucleotides in length. Their secondary structure includes four short double-helical elements and three loops (D, anti-codon, and T loops). Lineage: Eukaryota; Metazoa; Chordata; Lepidosauria; Squamata; Sphaerodactylidae. The record is from RNAcentral.
GCCGUGAUCGUAUAGUGGUGAGUACUCUGUGUUGUGGCAGCAGAAACCUCGGUUAGAAUCCGAGUCACGGCA